This 468-nucleotide ribosomal RNA is filed under the name uncultured bacterium. RNAcentral describes it as "partial 16S ribosomal RNA". It matches the Rfam family "Bacterial small subunit ribosomal RNA", at positions 28 to 507 of the family's 1533-position model. The record is from RNAcentral.
GACGAACGCUGGCGGCGUGCUUAACACAUGCAAGUCGAACGGAAAGGCCCUGCUUUUGUGGGGUGCUCGAGUGGCGAACGGGUGAGUAACACGUGAGUAACCUGCCCUUGACUUUGGGAUAACUUCAGGAAACUGGGGCUAAUACCGGAUAGGAGCUCCUGCUGCAUGGUGGGGGUUGGAAAGUUUCGGCGGUUGGGGAUGGACUCGCGGCUUAUCAGCUUGUUGGUGGGGUAGUGGCUUACCAAGGCUUUGACGGGUAGCCGGCCUGAGAGGGUGACCGGCCACAUUGGGACUGAGAUACGGCCCAGACUCCUACGGGAGGCAGCAGUGGAGAAUAUGGCACAAUAGGCGGAAGCCUGAUGCAGCAACGCCGCGUGCGGGAUGACGGCCUUCGGGUUGUAAACCGCUUUCGCCUGAGACGAAGCGUGAGUGACGGUAAUGGGUAAAGAAGCACCGGCUAACUACGUG